AUCCAGAUGACGAGCCUCAAAUAGGACUUAAUGCACAUCCUGGAU
RNAcentral lists this non-coding RNA (45 nucleotides) under Trichobilharzia regenti. Lineage: Eukaryota; Metazoa; Platyhelminthes; Trematoda; Strigeidida; Schistosomatidae. The record is from RNAcentral.